RNAcentral lists this non-coding RNA (93 nucleotides) under uncultured Selenomonas sp. Its description in RNAcentral is "THF riboswitch". It matches the Rfam family "THF (Tetrahydrofolate) riboswitch aptamer". Rfam says of the family: THF riboswitch presents a pseudoknot that joins P1-P2 and the loop of P3 and two THF binding. Lineage: Bacteria; Bacillati; Bacillota; Negativicutes; Selenomonadales; Selenomonadaceae. The record is from RNAcentral.
GCAGAGUAGGUGCCUGCGCGUCAAGUGCCGAUCGGACGGGGAGUUGCCGAUCGGACGAAGGGGAACCGCGGUGCAGGUGUUGCAUCCCGCUGC